This 375-nucleotide ribosomal RNA is filed under the name uncultured bacterium. Its description in RNAcentral is "bacterial SSU rRNA". It matches the Rfam family "Bacterial small subunit ribosomal RNA", at positions 28 to 399 of the family's 1533-position model. The record is from RNAcentral.
GACGAACGCUGGCGGCGUGCUUAACACGUGCAAGUCGAGCGGUAAGGCCCUUUCGGGGUACGACGAGCGGCGAACGGGUGAGUAACACGUGGGUGACCUGCCCUCAGCUCUGGGAUAAGCCUGGGAAACCGGGUCUAAUACUGGAUAUGACUCCAUGACGCAUGUUGGUGGGGUGGAAAGCCUUGUGCGGCUGAGGAUGGGCCCGCGGCCUAUCAGCUUGUUGGGUGGGGUGANGGGCCCUACCAAGGCGACGACGGGUAGCCGGCCUGAGAGGGCGACCGGCCACACUGGGACUGAGACACGGGCCCAGACUCCUACGGGAGGCAGCAGUGGGGAAUCUUGCGCAAUGGGCGAAAGCCUGACGCAGCGACGCCG